AGAGUUUGAUCCUGGCUCAGGAUGAACGCUAGCUACAGGCUUAACACAUGCAAGUCGAGGGGAAACGAUAGAGAAAGCUUGCUUUUUCUAGGCGUCGACCGGCGCACGGGUGAGUAACGCGUAUCCAACCUGCCCACCACUUGGGGAUAACCUUGCGAAAGUAAGACUAAUACCCAAUGACGUCUCUAGAAGACAUCUGAAAGGGAUUAAAGAUUUAUCGGUGAUGGAUGGGGAUGCGUCUGAUUAGCUUGUUGGCGGGGUAACGGCCCACCAAGGCAACGAUCAGUAGGGGUUCUGAGAGGAAGGUCCCCCACAUUGGAACUGAGACACGGUCCAAACUCCUACGGGAGGCAGCAGUGAGGAAUAUUGGUCAAUGGGCGAGAGCCUGAACCAGCCAAGUAGCGUGCAGGAUGACGGCCCUAUGGGUUGUAAACUGCUUUUAUAAGGGAAUAAAGUGAGCCUCGUGAGGCUUUUUGCAUGUACCUUAUGAAUAAGGACCGGCUAAUUCCGUGCCAGCAGCCGCGGUAAUACGGAAGGUCCGGGCGUUAUCCGGAUUUAUUGGGUUUAAAGGGAGCGUAGGCCGGAGAUUAAGCGUGUUGUGAAAUGUAGAUGCUCAACGUCUGCACUGCAGCGCGAACUGGUUUCCUUGAGUACGCACAAAGUGGGCGGAAUUCGUGGUGUAGCGGUGAAAUGCUUAGAUAUCACGAAGAACUCCGAUUGCGAAGGCAGCUCACUGGAGCGCAACUGACGCUGAAGCUCGAAAGUGCGGGUAUCGAACAGGAUUAGAUACCCUGGUAGUCCGCACGGUAAACGAUGGCAUGCCCGCUGUUGGUCUGAAUAGGUCAGCGGCCAAGCGAAAGCAUUAAGCA
RNAcentral lists this ribosomal RNA (869 nucleotides) under uncultured bacterium. RNAcentral describes it as "bacterial SSU rRNA". It matches the Rfam family "Bacterial small subunit ribosomal RNA", at positions 8 to 866 of the family's 1533-position model. The record is from RNAcentral.